Molecule: ribosomal RNA, 403 nt
Filed under: uncultured bacterium
Lineage: Bacteria
Description: partial 16S ribosomal RNA
Rfam family: Bacterial small subunit ribosomal RNA
Source: RNAcentral
AUUGAACGCUGGCGGCAGGCCUAACACAUGCAAGUCGAGCGAGCGGCGGACGGGUGAGUAAUGUAUGGGGACUGCCCGUUAGAGGGGGAUAACUACUGGAAACGGUGGCUAAUACCGCAUACUAUCGGAUAACCCAUAUGGGAUUAGCUAGUAGGUGGGGUAAAGGCUCACCUAGGCGACGAUCUCUAGCUGGUCUGAGAGGCGGAUCGGCCAAAUGGGGACGAGGACAGGGCCCAGACUCCUACGGAGGCGGCAGUGGGGAAUAUUGCACAAUGGGCGCAAGCCUGAUGCAGCCAGGCGGCGUGGAUGAGGAAGGCCUUAGGGUGGUAAAGUACGUUCAGCGGGGAGGCGUUACCCGCAGAGGAAGCACCGGCUAACUCCGUGCCAGCAGCCGCGGUAAUUC